Engraulis encrasicolus (European anchovy) is the source of this 696-nucleotide long non-coding RNA. RefSeq lists it as uncharacterized. Lineage: Eukaryota; Metazoa; Chordata; Actinopteri; Clupeiformes; Engraulidae. The transcript has 3 exons. The record is from RefSeq and is a predicted model, not a curated record.
UGUCCCACCGGAUGGGAAGUUUUUGGGUGCAACUGUUACCACAACGACAGACAGUCUAGAACUUGGUCUGAUAGCAGGAGUUACUGCCAGUCUCUUGGGGGAGACCUGGUGACCAUCAAGAGCCCAGAGAAACAGUGGUUCAUAACUAACAAGUACUACGCUGGCUGGAUUGGACUGAAGAAGGGGCCAGAUGGCAACUGGAGAUGGACUGAUGACACACCAGUCUCCACAUGGUACUGGUACCCUGGAAAGCCAAGGUCAGGUGAUUGUGUGGUUAUCCAUCAAUCUUACACCACCAACCACAAAACCUGGCAUGAUUAUCACUGUAAUCACCCCGGGCAUUGGGCCUUGUGUGAGAAGCCGGCCUACCCACAGAAAUAGCAGCUGCCUUACAGAUUGAGAUGACCGUGGCGGUAUUCCAAGAACCUAAGUUAUAUAAAACCAGGUGAGGUUAACCUUGAGUAAAAGUGAGGCAAAGUGGCGAGUCCUCACCUGUGGGCUAUGUAAGUUAAUAGCAGAUGUAUCCCUUUAUGUAUUCACUUAGCCAGGUUUAUCACUUCCUUGUUCCUGGAAUACUCCAUGUUUGUCCUCUGCAGCUUGUUUACUGCUGCAUUUUGCUUUGCUCUGCUGUAACUAAAGGUGGUCCAACUGUGUACUGAUGUACUCUGUAUUCACCUCACACUCCAUACGUGCUAU